RNAcentral lists this long non-coding RNA (212 nucleotides) under Elaeis guineensis (African oil palm). RNAcentral describes it as "long non-coding RNA (EGUI_LNC044558)". The record is from RNAcentral. Lineage: Eukaryota; Viridiplantae; Streptophyta; Magnoliopsida; Arecales; Arecaceae.
ACCCCUACAUCUCACCUGUCUGCCAUACCAGUGUCACCACACUUCUUAGUUAAGAGGACAACCAAUCCAUAUGGCACACAAUGACCUCCACUUGAUAAACAUCAUUGUCUCGUAAUGAUGUAUCAUUUGGUUGCAAACAUAUUUAAGAACUAUAUAAUAAAUCCUCUCUUUAUCGUAUACUAGCAUAAUUUUAGAAACUUCAUCACAGUACA